AAGGCCCUAGUAAAACCAUUACAUAGCUCUGUCAGCGCUAAAUCACAGACUUAUCCUCUGUGGGCCUUAAU
This 71-nucleotide transfer RNA is filed under the name Anguis graeca (Greek slow worm). RNAcentral's name for it is "tRNA-Asp". Lineage: Eukaryota; Metazoa; Chordata; Lepidosauria; Squamata; Anguidae. The record is from RNAcentral.